RNA transcript from Tyto alba (common barn owl), 1036 nucleotides. It is a transcript of the gene named LYR motif containing 4, with no coding region annotated. The transcript has 4 exons. The record is from RefSeq and is a predicted model, not a curated record. Lineage: Eukaryota; Metazoa; Chordata; Aves; Strigiformes; Tytonidae.
CCGCCUGGCGCCGGCAACAUGGCAGCGUCCAGCCGGGCGCAGGUGCUGCGGUUGUACCGGGCCCUGCUGCGAGAGAGCCAGCGCUUCGGCAGCUACAACUACAGAAUGUAUGCCAUCAGAAGGAUAAGAGAUGCCUUCAGAGAAAACAAGAAUAUAAAGGAUUCUGAAAAAAUAGAAGAACUAGUGAAUAAAGCCAAAGCAAACCUAGAGGUCAUUCAUCGGCAGGGUACAUGACAUCCUUCGUUCUCAAAAGACUGACUCUUUGCUCUACUAUGACAUCCCAAUAUUUAGCAUACUAGUGAGACUCUGAAUUCUUGUAGACCAAAUUAUGGAAAGUCAGGAAGGAUCUUGCUUUCACUUCACGGGAGAAGAUACUGCUUUGAGAAUAGACACUGGAAUUUCAAUCAACAUCGUGAAUGUUUCUGAAAAAUUUUGCAGGGUGAGAAUGGGAAUUUGACUAAAACAGCUCCUUAGUUUUAGCUAUUGUAGAAUCCAGCACUUGCCAGUAGAAAUCAAAAAUAAAGUUGUGGUCGUAAAACAGCAAUGGGUCCAUAGGGUUACACCUGAAGCCAAAGUUGUAAUUCAUAAGUAAUUUCCACAAAAUUCUGCUUUUUUUUUUUUUUUUUUCUUCAAUGGAAGUAGAAGUUAAGAUGCACUUUUGAAUUUCAGUUUGUUGAAAGCUGUGUAUGUUUCAUCCCAGUUGCGGGGACAACUUUGACAAGGCAAGAAAAGUGUUUUACUAUCACCUUCGAUGCCACCCUUGCCUGUCAUAAUGAGAAAGAUGCCUGUUUGGUGACUGCUUUUUCCCAGCCCAAGCCAGCUGCCUCCAGCUAGACCUUUCUUUGGGAUGAUCAAUCACGAAAUUGCAUAUAUAUCUCUUGGGAAAUUCAGUGUGUGUGAGCAGUAAGCAGAAAUACCAGCGGAAAUUCCCUAUUUCAAAUUUUUCACUGACUUUGAAAGAUUUCCUCGUGGUCCUGGUAAUAUUUGACAGCCAUAAAUAAAGAGCACUCUUUAUAACUUAAACUACAAAGAAUUU